GGAACUGAGCAAGUGUAAAGGAGAGUGAAAGAAAAUGAACGCAGGAAGGGGGAGUGAUUUGUCUGGCUCAGAUGGAGUCAAUAUUUGCUCCAUUCCACCAAUCCUGUGCCAGGGUCUGGAUCAAAGCAGGGCGUGUUUGUUCAAAAAAGGACGCAGAGAGCCAAAGGAGAAAACGGUGGACAUCUUUACAUUCUGAUGUGGAUGUGGCUGGGAGAACCAAGAGGGAUACUUUUUCACUAAAAGCAUAUUAGUUUGAAGUUAAUUUCUGUGAAAUUGUAAGCAUAGGUCAUUGUUAAACCUCAGGCGGGAAGAUCAUUAUGGAUGAGAAUAAAAACAAAAGCAAAACUUAGGGUUAAAAACGGCUAAAAGAGGGAGAUAAGAGGAUCGACGGGUGGAUAGCUCUAAUGAGGAGUUACAGUGGCCACUGGUGAGACAAGGACAUGAGCAGGAGAGAGAGGUCGGCUCAGUUGGACCCUAAUUGGCUGACGAAACAGCUGAAAUAACCUUGGUCCAAUUAUCGCACAAAGAGCAAUUGUUGCCCAUUCAGAGAAGCCACUGGUCCACAUAUGUACACAUAACAAGAACAAGCAACAGGAUUUAUGUCUGUGUGAACGGGCAUGUAUGGUAUGGCUUGGCACAGUGCAGUCAUGGUUGGCACAGGAGGCACUGGGCCACAAGAGAUACAGCGGAACGACUCAGCUGGGUAGUUUAAGUUACAGCACCCUCCACAAGUAGGAAUCCUGAAAACAACCUGAGGUCACGGUCUGAGGUCAGCUUCUCCUCCCUCUUACUCCCCAAGGCUGCACUUGUUUCUGCACAGCAUACUGAGAUGAGGAAAGGGACUGAAGAUUUAUCGGCGCAUGCCAUUAAUGGACAAAUCAACAA
Long non-coding RNA from Micropterus dolomieu (smallmouth bass), 885 nucleotides. RefSeq lists it as uncharacterized. NCBI's taxonomy places the organism in Eukaryota, Metazoa, Chordata, Actinopteri, Centrarchiformes, Centrarchidae. The record is from RefSeq and is a predicted model, not a curated record. The transcript has 3 exons.